AAGUCGAACGGUAACAGGAAACAGCUUGCUGUUUCGCUGACGAGUGGCGGACGGGUGAGUAAUGUCUGGGAAACUGCCUGAUGGAGGGGGAUAACUACUGGAAACGGUAGCUAAUACCGCAUAACGUCGCAAGACCAAAGAGGGGGACCUUCGGGCCUCUUGCCAUCGGAUGUGCCCAGAUGGGAUUAGCUAGUAGGUGGGGUAACGGCUCACCUAGGCGACGAUCCCUAGCUGG
This 235-nucleotide ribosomal RNA is filed under the name Shigella sonnei. RNAcentral describes it as "partial 16S ribosomal RNA". It matches the Rfam family "Bacterial small subunit ribosomal RNA", at positions 59 to 290 of the family's 1533-position model. The record is from RNAcentral. Lineage: Bacteria; Pseudomonadati; Pseudomonadota; Gammaproteobacteria; Enterobacterales; Enterobacteriaceae.